Molecule: ribosomal RNA, 460 nt
Filed under: uncultured bacterium
Lineage: Bacteria
Description: partial 16S ribosomal RNA
Rfam family: Bacterial small subunit ribosomal RNA
Source: RNAcentral
CCUACGGGUGGCAGCAGUGAGGAAUAUUGGUCAAUGGACGAGAGUCUGAACCAGCCAAGUAGCGUGAAGGAUGACUGCCCUAUGGGUUGUAAACUUCUUUUAUAUGGGAAUAAAAUGUUCCACGUGUGGGAUUUUGUAUGUACCAUAUGAAUACGGAUCGGCUAACUCCGUGCCAGCAGCCGCGGUAAUACGGAGGAUCCGAGCGUUAUCCGGGUUUAUUGGGUUUAGAGGGAGCGUAGGUGGAUUGUUAAGUCAGUUGUGAAAGUUUGCGGCUCAACCGUAAAAUUGCAGUUGAAACUGGCAGUCUUGAGUACAGUAGAGGUGGGCGGAAUUCGUGGUGUAGCGGUGAAAUGCUUAGAUAUCACGAAGAACUCCGAUUGCGAAGGCAGUUCACUGGACUGCAACUGACACUGAGGCUCGAAAGUGUGGGUAUCAAACAGGAUUAGAUACCCGAGUAGUC